RNAcentral lists this ribosomal RNA (252 nucleotides) under uncultured bacterium. RNAcentral describes it as "partial 16S ribosomal RNA". It matches the Rfam family "Bacterial small subunit ribosomal RNA", at positions 524 to 776 of the family's 1533-position model. The record is from RNAcentral.
UACGGAGGGAGCUAGCGUUGUUCGGAAUUACUGGGCGUAAAGCGCACGUAGGCGGCUAUUCAAGUCAGAGGUGAAAGCCCGGGGCUCAACCCCGGAACUGCCUUUGAAACUAGAUAGCUAGAAUCUGGAGAGGUCAGUGGAAUUCCGAGUGUAGAGGUGAAAUUCGUAGAUAUUCGGAAGAACACCAGUGGCGAAGGCGACUGACUGGACAAGUAUUGACGCUGAGGUGCGAAAGCGUGGGGAGCAAACAGG